This 297-nucleotide ribosomal RNA is filed under the name Bacteroides ovatus. Its description in RNAcentral is "partial 23S ribosomal RNA". It matches the Rfam family "Bacterial large subunit ribosomal RNA", at positions 2640 to 2925 of the family's 2925-position model. Lineage: Bacteria; Pseudomonadati; Bacteroidota; Bacteroidia; Bacteroidales; Bacteroidaceae. The record is from RNAcentral.
AUCUGCCGUGGGCGUUGGAUAUUUGAAGGGGGCUGCUCCUAGUACGAGAGGACCGGAGUGGACGAACCUCUGGUGUACCGGUUGUCACGCCAGUGGCAUCGCCGGGUAGCUAUGUUCGGAAGAGAUAACCGCUGAAAGCAUCUAAGCGGGAAACUCGCCUUAAGAUGAGAUAUCCCUGGGGACUAGAUCCCCUUGAAGGGUCGUUCGAGACCAGGACGUUGAUAGGUCAGGUGUGUAAGCGCAGUAAUGCGUUCAGCUAACUGAUACUAAUUGCCCGUAAGGCUUGAUCCUAUAACA